Molecule: RNA transcript, 4854 nt
Organism: Amaranthus tricolor (Joseph's coat)
Lineage: Eukaryota; Viridiplantae; Streptophyta; Magnoliopsida; Caryophyllales; Amaranthaceae
Exons: 5
Source: RefSeq, a predicted model, not a curated record
UGUAUGAUUGAGCAUAAGCUGACUACGUGGUUUUGUUCUUUGAACCUGUCCUGGGGGGCAGAUUUUGAGAUUAAUGAAGUCAACAGUAGCUGAAAGCGUAAAGAUCAAUAAUCAACCAAGUCAUCUUUUCAGUCAUAUAGAAGAAUGUAAGUAAAGCAAAUCUUUUAUUUAAAAAAAAAUUAUUUUAGUACUUAUUUUGGAUUAUUUGAGAAAAGAUUUCACCCUACGAUGUGAUUUGAUUUCGGAAUAUUUGGCGCAUGUGCCACUGGCUGGUUGUUAUUUUAAAAGUUGGUUUUGAACUUGCAGGGUGACUUUAAGUCAAAAGGAAAAAUUUUGGUUUAUCCAUGUGAAACUUUACCGGAUUUUUUGCAGAAAUUUAUAUAUUUGAAAUUGUUUCAAAUAAUUCUUAUAAUGUAAUUUCUUUACAUCUUUCAAAGGUUGUAAACACUCUGAUAUUUAAAUUCUUUGAUAGAUGUCUAGUGGAUAAUAUAAUCGGUUGAGUAAUUAAUUAUAUUGUCAACGUAAUAGCCCCACAAAAGUUUUAAGCUUCUGUAUUAGUUUAAAUCAAUCUUGUUUAAUCAGAUGGUUAGUUUCAGGUUGUUACAGAUUGAACCCUGGAUCCACCCCUGAUCAUGCUUGUUUCACUUUAAUCAUCUUAUUUUCUUCCUAAAUUUCAUUGCAAUGAUUUUUAUUUAAAGACUUGAUCUUAGGUGGUAAUGAAUAUCACCACCACCGUGGGAAUGACAUGAUAUAUUUCAUGAAAAUUUACACUACAAAACAAUACUCAUGAUCAUUCAAUACCAAUAACCAAACGCGCUGUAAAAUUUUUGUUGUAUUUAAAUUAUCGAUGCUAGUUACUUAUAUAUUUUUUCAGUCUUGUUUACCCGAGAAUCUGUUCUAUAUGAUUGAUCAACCAUGUGACUGCUUGGUUUGGUUUGCAGGACUUAAGUUUACAGGUUUGUGUUUCUGCAUUUAGUCAAAUGUUCAUCGAGAAUUUAUGAUAUGUGUCUAUCAUGUCUAUCGAGCUGAUCAAGUAUCAUCAAAGGGCGCUCAUUUGGUGAGGAAGAGGAAUUAAUUUUUGUGCCAUUGAGCAUAUUUUUGUGCAAUACAAGAUACUCUUGUUAUCAUUUUCUUAGACUUUUAGCCUUGCAUAACUUCUUGCUCCAUUUUAACGAAAUAUGGCUUCAAAGUUGAUACACCUGGUUGCUCACGAAGUCCCAAAUCAGCUAGAAUUCUCUCUAAGAGAAGCGUUUAGCCUUCUUCGACCAAAACUAGUGCCUCCAUUAAAGUUAACCAUCUCUUCUGCCCAAGAGUACUUAAAACUCAACGAGGCAAUCGUUUAUGGGGUUUUAUGUGAACCUAGUUUGGCCCAAACUUCUAUAAAGUACUUGCAUGCCAUUGUUAAUGAUGGGUACUGCUUAUUUAUCAAUAUACUUUCACAAAUUGUUGAUCUUUUGUAUUUAAAGAUGUUGGAAUCUCCAAAACGGCAGUUAAUUUGGGUUGCUUCUGUUAUGAUUGAUGUUUCUGGCAUAGGUUUUGGCGGUCUUUUGGUAUCUCUUCUGAGGCAAGUCGUAGGUGGGGAUUUUAGUGAUGGUAAUUUGUGGCUGAGCCAUAAGUUGGUUGACUUAUUUAUGUCCAAAUGGGAAUUGAUAUUGGAUGAGGAGCCAACAAUUCUGUCUAGUGCUUUGUACACAUAUCUUAGAUUGUUGACUGAUCAUUAUCGCCUAGCUUACACUCCAUGCUUGACAGAGUUGAAGCAGAAGGAGAUUGUGUUUUGUGUUAGAAUGUUGAGAGAGCAGUUUCAUUUGUGCUUGAGAAUUGGAAGGGAUCUAGUUCGUCUUUUACAGGAGUUGGUUCACAUUCCUGAGUUUCGAGUUAUAUGGAAGGAUUUAUUGUUGAAUCCAGAUUCAUUUAAGACUUCUGGGUUUUCAGAUAUAUCUCAUAUAUAUGCCAUGAGAACAUCGAGUAGGUAUUUCUUACUUAGAAUAACUCCUGAAAUGGAGACUCAGCUACGAUUUUUGCUUACCCACGUUAAGUUAGGAUCUCAGAAAAGGCACCAGAUAUGGUUCACUAGGAAGUUCCUUUAUCGGCCCGAGAGAGAGACUCUCAUCUCUGACAUUGUUCGCUUUAUUUGUUGUGCUCACCACCCUUCUAAGGAAGUUCUUCAAUCGGAUGUCAUUCCGAGAUGGGCCGUUAUUGGAUGGUUGUUAAAAUUAUGUACUAAGAAAUAUGUUGAAGCUAAUGUGAAGCUGGCCUUGUUUUACGAUUGGCUUUUCUUUGAUGAAAAAGUGGACAACUAUAUGAAUGUUGAGCCUACAAUGUUGUUGUUGGCAAACUCUCUACCUAAGUAUAUUGACGUCACCAAUUCUCUAUUGGAGUUCUUGUUUCUAGUUGUAGAAAAUUAUGAUAUAGAUAGGAAAAAUAUCAUCUGCAAAGGCGUAUCGUCUGCUAUAAGAACGCUAGUCAGCAAAGGAGUGAUUGCUUCUCUUGACAUUUUAACUUCUUGCAAUUUGCUUUCUCCUCUUGUCAAAGAGAUGCUUCAAAAUUUUAUGUCCAAGGUUCAAUCUGGAAUAUGUAAAGAGCCUCAUCCACCCGGAAAUUUUUCUUCUAAUAUGACAUCCCAGACGUCACCUAGUUUGUCAAAUACGCAAAUUGAAACGCAUAAUUUUGCUGGACUUCCUGCAUGUCCUGAAAAUGCUGAAUUGAAUACUCAGCCAAUUUCUGUAAGUAAUGAGGGCCAAGAAAACAAAUUCACAAAAUUCAUUGAAAAAAUAAGGGAGUCAAUGAAAUUCUCAAGCAAGAUGGGCCAACAAAGUGUGGAGGAAAUUUUAUUUUUGCUCAUAAAUUCUGGCAAUGAAGAAAAUUUUGGUGACUCUAAAUUUCUAGCUUGUGAAUUGAAGAAAGAACUUGAGCUGGCUGGGUACAAGUUUUUUUCACCGAUCGGAAAUCUCCCAACCGGUGAUGAUGCUGAUGAGGAAGUUCAAUCUGUAACAGCUUCCGUCAUUCGUACCUUUAUAAUUUCUAAACACCAGCAGAUCAAACAGAUGUUAUUUUGUUGGUCAAGAGAUGGUUGUUCAGUUGGUGCUCGAAUAUUAUCAUACGCAUUAAGACUUGCAUAUGAAGCUCAAUUAGCAGGCCAUGGAGAAAAUUUUACAAAUGAGAUCAAUUACAAAAAGCUGCCCCUGCUGAAGUCUCAUAUUGACGGAUAUUUUGCAUUUACAUCUGAAAAUAAUACUCAUGUUAAAAAAACAGUUACUUUUACUUCUAAGGUUGAUGAUAUAUUGGUAUCUAAGGUAAUUGAUGGUGCAUUCAUCUCUUAUAGGAACAUACUUUUACAGGGUUGGGAUGAUUCAAGUAAAGAAAUAAAUGCAUCUCCUGGUAAGCUCCUGGCAGCUGAUAUGGUGUCUUGUUCAUUGUGGAAGAAAAAAAUUUUUGCGGGUCUUUUCCGCAGCAUCUUUACUUAUCUUCCUGAUCUAUCCCUUGCUGACGAAGAUGUUAUAUUUUUACUUGUCAGUCAGCUGGAAGAUUUUGAUCUUGUAUCGAUACAAAUCGACGUGGGAUUGAAAAAGUACGCUAUAUUUGGCGAAGAUGUCAAAAAAGUUCUUCAACUAAUUAGAAGAUCUCUUUACUGGAAAGAAGUACAUCAGCACAAGUUCUGGGCCUUAAUUAGAUCAGAGCUCACAGUUUCCAAGUUUCCUGUUGAGAAGUUGCUUUUAGACUGUUUUUUCUCGACUGAGUUUGAUUCGAAAUCAAGUGCUACAUCUAUUGGAGGUCUUUUGGGGGUAUGUAGUUCUUGUGCUCCGACUCCAGAAAUUGUCGGUGCUGUGAUGUUAUUGCCAAACAAGUUUGCUGAUUUUUCUGCUGCCAUCCUCUCUCAUUGGACCACGACUAAUGCAUUGAUGUUCUCCUCUAGUAUAGAAGAUUUUUUAAAUAAAUUUGAGCAUAAGAAUGGGGAUGCUCGACUUAACUGGGACAGCGUGUCGAUGAAUCAAUCCGCUCUUUUGUUUUUGAUAAAAUACUUUGAAGCACAAGGUGUUCGUGUUAAUAUGCUCGAGAAACUGGCAUUCAGGAACCGUGCAGUUCCUAUGGAUACCGGAUAACUCUACCUUUGUGGCACGUUCUUGAAGAAUAUGCAUGAUGGCUUAAUCGAGCUAUCUGUGUAUCAUCGAUAUUGUAAUCUUCCUAACUAAUUAAAACAUAAUCCUCUAUCCUCUGAGAUUGCUCCUCAUGUCAUUGCACAACGAAGAAAAAGGGAGAGGAUGCGUAUUUUAGUAGGAUAUUGUAGGUGGGUUCAUGUUCAGGGCAAACCAUAUGGAACAGAUCCAACUACAAUAUGGAGCAAAAUCAGGGGACGUAGGGAGUACAUAUGAUUAUGUUUUGAUUCGUGUAGCUGAUGGAUGUGCCUUAGAUUGACUUUCUUGAUGCUAUAGACUUGAAUUGCAUAACCAGUAUGCAGUUAUGGAUAACGAGCCCUUUGUUUGAUGACAAGUGCAUACUACAAGUGUUACAAUGGACUGUGUGACAAAUGCAUGUAGGUUGGAGCUAUUGGCUGGUUUGACCAGCUGAAAGUACUAAGAUAUGUAAGUUUCGAAUAAGCUCCUAAUUGUGUUCCAGGCAAUUGUGACCGGACUAUCAGCAAAAUGGUGACCGGAGUAAAGAUCGACUAUAUGAAUCUGUUGAGUCAUAUUGUCGAUCUUUACAAGAUGCAGGAUCUUCUCUGUUCAAGUCAAUUUAUUUGGUUUUACUAUCUAUUCCGAUAUACACUUUGUAAUCAAUUACACACCAGUUGAUAAGAUAAAUUUGUAAGAUACAUGUGGAAGUUUUUCAAUUACACCUUUUACCUUAACAUAGCAA